GGAGGAGCAGGAGGAGGAGGAGGAGGAGAGGAGGACCAUUUUGUUUGCGAGGCAGAAAAGACGGACAGACGACCAGACCUUGGCGAGCUCGUCCUCCUGGGUCGGUGACGGGAUUUCCUCCUCGUUCUGCUUGUCUGCAGAAAAAAACAAAAAAAAACAGCACAUGUUCAUAAACAAACAAGAAUUUAUCGAUUUAAUUUGGUGGAAACUCAGAGGACAGGUGUCUGAGGAGAGACGGAGACGGAGACUCACCCAGGAAGGUGCUGGAGAUGUACUCCGACACCUGGUUCCCGGAGCGGCUCAUCUCUGACAGCAGUGCUUAGAACUGAACCAGCAGAACCCAGGAUGACCCCAGGAUGACCCCUGGAUGACCCCAGGAUGACCCCUGGACCAUGCUCACGUACUUUGUUGGAGGCCAUUUCACUGACAGAGCGGACUGAUUCUGUGAUUGGUUGUCUGGGUCUACAUUAUACAGUCAACUGGCUAACUGUCUGAGCUGUAACCCCGCCCCUGCCCAACGACUGCUGUGAUUGGCUGCAGCUCCUGCAACAACCCUGAGGAUUUGAAGGGCGGAGCGUUCCCGAACCCAGGCAGCAGAGCAGGUGGAGAGCCAGGACCGGACAGGUCAGAGGUCACUGCAAGGUCAAACCGAGGUCAGACCGGGUCACAGCCGGCCCCCAUUGGUACUGACUCCAAAGCGAACCGACCCCUGACCCAGACUGUGUCCACACUUUGAGCCUCGAUGAUUCCUCAGCUGCAGGACUGCACAGGUGCAUUCAUGUGGACCUCCAGUGGCCCUUAGUCCAGGGGGGGACGGGGACAGGGGGGGUCUAUGUUUUUAUAUUUCCCAAAAGUCCAAAAACAGAAGUUAGGGGCCCGACGUCCUACUCCAUGUUCACGUCAUCUAAAAGUGUCAGGGAAGAAGUCUGUUUUUUUGCAUAUUGUCCUGGGUGGGCGGGACCAGCCUGCACGACUUCCUGUCCACAGUUCAUGGCGUCGACGUGGAGUGUCGUUCACAUGGUGUUUUCCAACUUUUCACCAGAUUCCACAGAAAUACAACUUCCUUUGAGCUUCAAAAACCAAAGUCCCGUUGGACUGUGGAAGACUACGCCCCCCGGCGUCCCCGCCGUCUCACAUGAGCGUCCUGAUGCGGCGGCCCGGGUGUUUAAAGAACACUCCACCGACGGUACAUCCACACAGCUGUCGAACAUAGUCCGCUGAUCCUACGGUUCCACACCUGAAGCGUCCAGGUGGGAGGACGCAUCCUUGACCCGACGUCGGCGACUCCGUUCUGCUCUGGAAAACCUUGAAGGAAAAGGAAAAGAAUCGAAACGUUACCUCAGGCAGGAAGUGACUGAAAUCAUCAACUUCCUCUGUCUGUGGUGGACACGAUCGGGCCAGAACCAGUACUUUAGGCACCUGGCUGUACACACCGUAAUCAGGUGACCUGUGGUAAUAACCAGAGACCAAUCAAACCAUGGCACACCUUUGUCCUAGGACAGUGACGGCAUCACUGGUGUGUCCGUACCUUUCAUUGUUACGUUACGUUCCCAGACUUGGUCUUUAGGUGUUUGUUGUUUUAGUGUGGACCAAUGACACGGAGCUGUUGGUCAGAUCUGGGCCACAACUGGAUCCCACACUGUGGACAUUCUUGUGUAGUAAGAUCUGCUGCAGCAGGCUGCCCCCUGGAGGCACCAGAGGGAGUUUGAAGAGCUGUAGUCUGGUGGUGGGCCACCAGGGAAGACAGAAGGUUUCAGCUGCCUGGACCUGGACCUGGACCUGGACCUGGACCUGGACCUGGACUGGAGUGUGUGGAGACACACUGAGGAUUCCUGUUGGCAACAGCGGCGAGUCGCAUAUUCACCUCCUUCACCGCUAGAGGGCGGUAAUGGAAUAUAUAUAUAUAUAUCAGUUUGGGUGAAACCUAAAAGAAGACAAAGAGUCGCGGCUGUGUGGAUCAGUGUUACUUCAGCAGAGACUGAUAUCAUGGUGUCCAGUGGGGGUUUCAAACCGACUCACCUCAGGUUCCAGUUUGUUCAUCACCUCCUGCAGCAUCUGGAGGUUCUUUUCAGCGAAGCUCUUCUGUAGUUCCUGUUGAGGACGGAACAUUUACAAUCGAUCUACUGACACGAGACGAUGAAGGAAAGAAACUUUGACAAACAUUUAGUUCAUCUUCAUCUCAAAAAGGAAGAAAGGAUUUUUUUAAAAACAAGAUUUCAAAUGAGAUUUCCUGCACGGACAGUGACUGAUAGACCUCCACAGGGUCUAAACCACUUGGGCCCAGUUUCCUCUGCCUCUGCUGCUGCUCCUCCUCCUGCUGCUCCUCCUCCUCCUCCUCCUCCUGAUCUUCAGUGACUCCCUCCGUACGGAUCAGUGCACAGCUGUGAAUCCUCUCCUUCAGUAACUCCAGUUCAUGGUCAAACGCAUCCAGUACCACUGUUCUCCUGUAGGAGUCACACGCUGUUGCACUUCACCCUAAAUACAGAUCUAGAGCAGGAUUUGGUAGAUUUUCCAAACCUUGAUUUUUGAGAAGAACCGUCUGAAACAGCCUCUGGGGUCGACCCUC
Cynoglossus semilaevis (tongue sole) is the source of this 2566-nucleotide long non-coding RNA. RefSeq lists it as uncharacterized. The transcript is spliced from 11 exons. The record is from RefSeq and is a predicted model, not a curated record. Lineage: Eukaryota; Metazoa; Chordata; Actinopteri; Pleuronectiformes; Cynoglossidae.